CUGAAGAUGGUAUUUAAGGUGGUGGCUUCGGCCAUUCUGGCGAGUUACUGUUCCCUGGGUUUCUCCCAUGCAUACAUGUUAUUAAACUUUGUUUGAUUUUCUCCUGUCAAUUUAAGUCUUAGACCAGCCAGAAGGACCUACAUGGUACAGGCAUAGUUCUUACCUCCCCUUCAGUUUUGGCUAUGAAGAUGGGACAAAACUUUACUGGCUGGAUGCUGCUUGCUCCUGGACUACUGCAGCUGAGAGAUCCUGGACCCUUGACAAGAACUGGGAGGAGGACACAAUUGGAAACAUUGGUUAUAUACACCAAGGCUUUGACUGGAAUGUCAUAUUUGACAGCAACAUGCAUAGACUCAGAUGACCAGACAACUUUGAGGAACAGAGAUUGGACUUUAUGGAAUAAAGCCACUUGGAAAUAUUGGCCUGGUACCUUGCUUUCAGUGUUCCUAGCAUCCUUACCAGGUGAGUAAAGAAAGUAAGUUCCCUGGCAGGUGCAAAGAACCUCAGGAUAUUCUGGGGAACCUCAAGAGAAGAGAGGAAUUCACCCAAAUCUGUAGGUAUUGCAGGCAGAGUCUGAUGAUAAGUCCUUGGCUUUGCUUGGCCUGACCUUGAGAGGCCUUUAAAGUUCAAUCUGAGAUUCCUUAUAAAAAGUUCCAGCAAAGCAGAUUUAAAAGAGCCUAUAUGAUCAAUUGCUAUUCUUGCAUACUUAUAUAAAUAAUUGGGCCAAGUUUAUUGAAAAUAGACUUAUUUUACUGACCAAUUAGUCUUAAUUUGGGUAUCUUUGGUAAAAACGAGGGUGAUUUUAGAGGGAAAAAUUAUGUUUUUAGUAGAAGCUAUUAUAUACAUACUUGUGGAUAUUAGAUUCUAGUUCUGUUAAUUGUCUUUGAGGUUUUUUUGUUUUCCACCCAUAAACCGUACUGGAUCCUGAAUUCUUCUAGAGUCCUGAAAUAUCUGGCUACAAAUCUCCAAACUAAUGUUUUCAAUUUUUUCCAUCAUUUUCAUUUGGAAUCGUUGAGAACUGAAACCACCCUUGUUCCUGAAGCCCUACAAACUGAAGCUGGACAACUUGAUAUAAACUCAAGAGAGAUCACCAUGAUAACAUGCCUGUACUGUGUAAGUGACUCAAAAAGAUAUCUGAACACCGAUGACAUCAUCAGAGACAUUUCAAACUGCAAAAGAUGCUUUGACCCUGACAUCUAGAAAUCUUGAUUGGCUGUCUCUUGGGCUCAGAAACUGGUUUAUAAUUUGCUCCAACCAUUAACCUUGUUUUUCUUUUUGUUUUUAUGAAAAUGGUUCUUAUUAAAUACCUGCUUGCUUGCUUACACAAUAUAGGCCUAACUUUGGGAGCUCACCUGCAUCACUGCCUCUUGAAAUGAAUUUAACUAGACUGAUGUAUCAUCAGGACUAAGAGACUGGUCCAAUGAGAUAGAACAAUCUACCAACUCAGCUUCUGGACUGUGAAACUUCUUAAAAUUUCAAAGGCUGGACUGUGGGGGAUCAGAAUUGGCCACCCCAAAAUGUGUGUCUUUGGCUUGAUUAUUUUUAAAGACUAACCUCUUACCUCUUAGAUACAGCAAAGCUGCUCCACACC
Diceros bicornis minor is the source of this 1591-nucleotide long non-coding RNA. RefSeq lists it as uncharacterized. The transcript has 2 exons. Lineage: Eukaryota; Metazoa; Chordata; Mammalia; Perissodactyla; Rhinocerotidae. The record is from RefSeq and is a predicted model, not a curated record.